RNAcentral lists this ribosomal RNA (527 nucleotides) under uncultured bacterium. RNAcentral describes it as "bacterial SSU rRNA". It matches the Rfam family "Bacterial small subunit ribosomal RNA", at positions 777 to 1304 of the family's 1533-position model. The record is from RNAcentral.
AAUAGAUACCCCGGUAGUCCACGCCGUAAACGUUGGAUACUAGGUGUGGCGUCCCGAUCAACGGAUGCCGUGCCGAAGCUAACGCAUUAAGUAUCCCGCCUGGGGAGUACGGCCGCAAGGCUAAAACUCAAAGGAAUUGACGGGUCCCCGCACAAGCGGCGGAGCAUGCGGCUUAAUUCGAUGCAACCCGAAGAACCUUACCUGGGUUUGAAAUCAUGGGAAAGGCUGUAGAAAUACAGUGUCCGUAAGGGCCCAUGACAGGUGGUGCAUGGCUGUCGUCAGCUCGUGUCGUGAGAUGUUGGGUUAAGUCCCGCAACGAGCGCAACCCUUGUCCUAUGUUGCCAGCGGUUCGGCCGGGGACUCAUAGGAGACUGCCGGGGAUAACUCGGAGGAAGGUGAGGACGACGUCAAGUCAUCAUGCCCCUUAUAUCCAGGGCUGCACGCAUGCUACAAUGGUCGGUACAACGGGCAGCGACCCCGCGAGGGUGAGCGAAUCCCACAAAGCCGACCUCAGUUCGGAUUGGAGU